Long non-coding RNA from Oncorhynchus tshawytscha (Chinook salmon), 644 nucleotides. Lineage: Eukaryota; Metazoa; Chordata; Actinopteri; Salmoniformes; Salmonidae. The record is from Ensembl.
CAACAGGAACGUAAUAAGAAAGGCGGUAUAUCUGCAUCACAUUGUUGAGAGCUGAUUAUGCAUUAUGUGAAGUGUACCUAAAUACAGCACUCUGCUUCCUUGUCUCUGAAGAUGGAAGACACUACAGAGUGACAACAUGUCCUCAGCCCUUCCCUGUUUUAAAAAAGGGAACAGCUGUUGACAACUGAUCUAAUUCUAGCCAUGUGUGAGUUUGUGAGGCUACAGUACUGAGAUGAGAACAUAGUCUAUUCUAGAACACAGAGGCUAUGCCACUCCAAACCAGCAGUCCAUUCUAGAGCACAGAGGCUAUGACAUCCACCAAGCCAACAGUCCAUUCUAGAACACAGAGGCUAUGACACUCCAAACCAGCAGUCCAUUCUAGAGCACAGAGGCUAUGACAUUCCAAACCAACAGUCCAUUCUAGAACACAGAGGCUAUGAAAUUCCAAACCAACAGUCCAUUCUAGAACACAGAGGCUAUGACAUUCCAAACCAACAGUCCAUUCUAGAGCACAGAGGCUAUGACAUUCCAAACCAACAGUCUAUUCUAGAACACAGAGGCUGACACUACAAACCAACAGUCUAUUCUAGAACACAGAGGCUAUGACACUCCAAACCAACAGUCCAUUCUAGAACACAAACCAA